Ruditapes philippinarum (Manila clam) is the source of this 2090-nucleotide long non-coding RNA. RefSeq lists it as uncharacterized. The record is from RefSeq and is a predicted model, not a curated record. NCBI's taxonomy places the organism in Eukaryota, Metazoa, Mollusca, Bivalvia, Venerida, Veneridae. The transcript has 3 exons.
CAAAAACAUGGCCAAAUUGAGACGCUCGAUUACAUGAUCCAAAUUAUUUUGAGUAAGUUUGUGUCUGUCAAGUGUUUUAAAUGUUGACGAUAGCAACAAUAAGUACAUAUAAAUAUUUGUAUAUAUUUUAAAGAAGAGAAAACAUAUUAAAGUCGAGUUGUAUGAAGGAAAUAGAUGAAUACACGGACGUCUACUGCUUCCAAUGACUGUUAACGCUUAAAGCUGUUGCGAAUGUCAUUUUUUGACGGACAUUCUUGUUGCAUACGUCAUUUAUCGACAUACACAAUUGUUGCUAUCGUCAUUCUUUGACGGCUGUUAAUGAUGCGAUCGUCAUAUUUUGACAACCGUCAAUGUUUUGACAUAAUAAAUCUACAUGUAAACAUUGUAGUGUCAGUAAUACCAGGUAGUGAGAGAUGGAUUGAGUUGAAUUACAGUCAAAUCGGCCCCAAGUCAGAUCGGCCCCAAGUCAGAUCGGCCCCAAAAUAGUCAAAUCGGCCCCAAGCGAAAUCGGCCUCAAGUCAGAUCAGCCCCAUUUUUUUUUCUUUGUUCAUUGUCUUAUUUAAAUGUUGUUAAAAAAAAUGUGUGGAUUGGAAUAUCAAAUGACUAACAAUAGAUUACAUUGAAAACCAGAACAAAACAUAAUAAUCAAUAUAAUUAAUUGUCUGAGUAUAACAUUUAUCUUCACUGUACUAAACUAUUUAUUGUCUAUAAACAUAUGAACAGUAUGUAAAUGUCACUUUUCAUGUUAUUGUCACUUCUCAAGCAAAGGUAAACUAUGAAUAACUUGCCUUAUUAGCUCCACUAUUCGAUAAGAAUAAGUAGAGCUAUUGUAGUACCCCGAGCGUCGGCGUCGGCGUAACCACUUAUGUUAAAGUUUUUGUAAUAGUUCAAAUAUUUUCAAAGUCCAUUGACAUAUGGCUUUGAAACUUUGCACACUUGUUCACCAUCAUGACCCCAACCUGUAGACAGGAGGAGGUAACUCUAUCAAGCAUUUUGACAGAAUUAUGCCCCUUUUUGGACUUAGAAUUUACGUUAAAGUUUUUGUAAUAGUUCAAAUAUUUUCAAAGUCCAUUGACAUAUAUGGCUUUGAAACUUUGCACACAUGUUCACCAUCAUGACCCCAACCUGUAGACAGGAGGAGGUAACUCUAUCAAGCAUUUUUUUUUACUAUCAAGCACUAAGAAUAGUCAAGUGUUGCUGUCCUACCGACAGCUCUUGUUAGAAAUUAAUGUUUUCUGUUUUCUCAUUUAUAUGUCUUGAAAAGUUAUGUUUCUACAAGUUUGCAGAAAAGUAGACUUGUGGGGAUGAUUUGGCGGACAGUUUGAUUGAAGACAUUGGUAUACCUGCUUCCAAGCAAAGUGACUCGAAGCAUUUGAAGACUUGUGGCGAUGAUUUGGCGGACAGUUUCUUUGUCUCUUUGUAUACCCACCCUAUAAAAUGCCGGGCAUGAUGGCGCGGUGGUUGUUCAAACCCAUGAACUGCACAGAGAGGAGAAAGUCUAUGGAUUGUGGGUCCAGUUCUAUAAGAAAGGAAAGCGACAAUUAAGGACAUUGGAGGAGAAAUCUUUCUUUGUUUGUUGUUAAACAACUUGCUGAACCUUUACUGUCUAUGCAUGGAUCUAGAUUAUACUACAAAUUUUGAGUGUUUGGUGUACAGUUACACUUAAUAGCCCAUCAGAAAGGCCGACAUGGUGACUGGUGCUUUUACAUCUAAUUUGGUGCAGACUGUUUUCAUACUUUCUUACAAAAACUGUUAGAAAUAUAUUAUAUCGGCGAUUAAAAAGACCUUUAUUGCUAUGUCAAAGUUUUUUUAAUUUAUAUAUUGUAAAUCGAGAUAUAUGUUUACUUUUGAAAUAAAUUCAUAAUUUGAUUGCCUUUUGUUCAGUAAACCCGACCGCUGUCUUAUUAACGGGAGGUAACUCACGUGACUUGACUGACAGUAAUAUGAAUCAUCGUAGCCAUUUAUCCCCAAAGACACAUAAUGAUAUUGAAACUUAACUUGUAUCAAAUAUUUUUUAUUUAUAAUUUUAGAUAAAGUUUAAAAUAUUCUUAAGAUAAGUUUAGCUAUAACGAGGUAAAUAUCACACGGAG